GAUGAACGCUGACAGCAUGCUUAACACAUGCAAGUCAACUUGAAUUUGGGUUUUUACCUUAGGUUUGGGUGGCGGACGGGUGAGUAACGCGUAAAGAACUUGCCUCACAGCUAGGGACAACAUUUGGAAACGAAUGCUAAUACCUAAUAUUAUGAUAAUAGGGCAUCCUAUAAUUAUGAAAGCUAUAAGCGCUGUGAGAGAGCUUUGCGUCCCAUUAGCUAGUUGGAGAGGUAACGGCUCACCAAGGCGAUGAUGGGUAGCCGGCCUGAGAGGGUGAUCGGCCACAAGGGGACUGAGACACGGCCCUUACUCCUACGGGAGGCAGCAGUGGGGAAUAUUGGACAAUGGACCGAGAGUCUGAUCCAGCAAUUCUGUGUGCACGAUGAAGUUUUUCGGAAUGUAAAGUGCUUUCAGUUGGGAAGAAACAAAUGACGGUACCAACAGAAGAAGUGACGGCUAAAUACGUG
RNAcentral lists this ribosomal RNA (467 nucleotides) under uncultured bacterium. RNAcentral describes it as "partial 16S ribosomal RNA". It matches the Rfam family "Bacterial small subunit ribosomal RNA", at positions 28 to 507 of the family's 1533-position model. The record is from RNAcentral.